RNAcentral lists this microRNA precursor (95 nucleotides) under Pteropus vampyrus (large flying fox). RNAcentral describes it as "miRNA (ENSPVAG00000027190.1)". Lineage: Eukaryota; Metazoa; Chordata; Mammalia; Chiroptera; Pteropodidae. The record is from RNAcentral.
GGGAGCAGUGUGUGUGUGUGUGUGUGUGUGUGUGUGUGUGUGUGUGUGUGCGCGCGCGUGCACGCGUGCAUGCGCACACACGUGAACGCGCACAC